RNAcentral lists this ribosomal RNA (607 nucleotides) under Vishniacozyma victoriae. RNAcentral's name for it is "eukaryotic LSU rRNA". It matches the Rfam family "Eukaryotic large subunit ribosomal RNA", at positions 55 to 652 of the family's 3401-position model. The record is from RNAcentral. Lineage: Eukaryota; Fungi; Basidiomycota; Tremellomycetes; Tremellales; Bulleribasidiaceae.
GGAAAAGAAACUAACUAGGAUUCCCUUAGUAACGGCGAGUGAACCGGGAUGAGCUCAAAUUUAAAAUCUGGCGUCUUUCAGGCGUCCGAGUUGUAAUCUAUAGAGGCGUUUUCCGCGCCGGACCGCGUCCAAGUCUCUUGGAAUAGAGUAUCAAAGAGGGUGACAAUCCCGUACUUGACGCGACAACCGGUGCUCUGUGAUACGUUCUCAAUGAGUCGAGUUGUUUGGGAAUGCAGCUCUAAAUGGGUGGUAAAUUCCAUCUAAGGCUAAAUAUUGGCGAGAGACCGAUAGCGAACAAGUACCGUGAGGGAAAGAUGAAAAGCACUUUGGAAAGAGAGUUAAACAGCACGUGAAAUUGUUAAAAGGGAAACGAUUGAAGUCAGUCGUGUGAAAGGUAUUCAGCCGUCUCUGGCGGUGUAUUUGCCUUUCACGGGUCAACAUCAGUUUGAUCCGGUAGAAAAAGGCGGGAGGAAGGUGGCACCCUCGGGUGUGUUAUAGCCUCCUGUCAUAUGUGCCGGACCAGACUGAGGAACGCAGCUUGCCGCAAGGCCGGGGUUCGCCCACGUACAAGCUUAGGAUGUUGACAUAAUGGCUUUAAACGACCCGU